AGCAGCCGCGGUAAUUCCAGCUCCAAUAGCGUAUAUUAAAGUUGUUGCAGUUAAAAAGCUCGUAGUUGAAUUUCGGGAUCAAUACGUCGGUCAUGCUUUUUGGUACGAACUGGCGUCAUUGGUUUCUCCUUUCUGACGAACCAUGAUGUCAUUAAUUUGGUGUUAUGGGGAGUUGGGACUGUUACUUUGAAAAAAUUAGAGUGUUUAAAGCAGGCAUAAGCUUGAAUACAUUAGCAUGGAAUAAUGAAAUAGGACGUUUGAUCCUAUUUUGUUGGUUUCUAGGAUCAACGUAAUGAUUAAUAGGGAUAGUUGGGGGCAUUAGUAUUCAAUUGUCAGAGGUGAAAUUCUUGGAUUUAUUGAAGACUAACUACUGCGAAAGCAUUUGCCAAGGAUGUUUUCAUUAAUCAAGAACGAAAGUUAGGGGAUCGAAGACGAUCAGAUACCGUCGUAGUCUUAACCAUAAACUAUGCCGACUAGGGAUCAGAUGAUGUUAAUUUAAUGACUCA
RNAcentral lists this ribosomal RNA (506 nucleotides) under uncultured Glomus. Its description in RNAcentral is "SSU rRNA". It matches the Rfam family "Eukaryotic small subunit ribosomal RNA", at positions 569 to 1078 of the family's 1831-position model. The record is from RNAcentral. Lineage: Eukaryota; Fungi; Glomeromycota; Glomeromycetes; Glomerales; Glomeraceae.